Fopius arisanus is the source of this 805-nucleotide long non-coding RNA. RefSeq lists it as uncharacterized. Lineage: Eukaryota; Metazoa; Arthropoda; Insecta; Hymenoptera; Braconidae. The transcript is spliced from 5 exons. The record is from RefSeq and is a predicted model, not a curated record.
GUCAAUACUUUUGAGCUUAGCAUAAUAAUUCCUAGCAAGUCUAAAUAUAAAAUUAUCGAUUCUAGGUAUCAAGGCCUGAUUAUAUAAAAAAUCAUUCUUGACGCGAUACUGAAAAUUGCUAUGAGGGGAUCGAUGUAAGAGCAACCAGGUGCGGAGACAAUUUCUCUCAAAUAAUCUGAGUGUCUCGAUCUGAUGGGCCCCCAUAUUCCAAAGGACUUCGCAGGCGUACGUCAAUAGAGGUCUAAUUAGGAGCAGGUUGAUCUCCAGCUACGUAGAGGACUCGGUCAUCCGCAUACGAAAUGGAGAAUGUAUCAUUGUUGGAGUUGAAGUCAAAGGCAUUAAUCAUGUUUGAUGUAAAUAAUGAAACUAACAAGGAUCCAGGAGAACAGCCCCAACAAGGUUAUGUUGAAACAGGUUUUCAUUAAUAUCAGAAAUGAGCUCAUUGACGGCAUGUAGAGUGGAGUGUUUAUUGCGGAAACCAUAGUGGUUAUCAGGAGUGAGGCUAAUAGGUCUGUAACUGACCGGAUGAGUGAUAUCCUUCCCUUUUUUGAUGCGUUGUUAAAAAUAACUGAGAGAUUGAAGACCAUUUUUUUUGGUUCUCUUUUGGGUUCUGUGGAUACUUCGAGAGUCGCAGAUUGGUGUUUUCCGACGUUUGAGCGUUUCCAGAAGGAAUUCAUUGUCGAUAUUCGAAUUGUUAGUGGAUUUUUUUGUUGUUGAUUAUAAAUUGUUAUUGGAUCUCCGUUAAUAGAUGCAUUGGAAUUCUUCGUGAAAACGUCACCAAUUGUAUUUUCUGAGUUUAGGGUAA